UACGGAGGGUGCGAGCGUUGUCCGGAAUCACUGGGCGUAAAGGGCGCGUAGGUGGCGGUUUAAGCGUGCGGUGAAAGCCCGGGGCUCAACUCCGGGUCGGCCGUGCGAACUGGAUCGCUCGAGCAUGGUAGAGGCGCAUGGAAUUCCGGGUGUAGCGGUGGAAUGCGUAGAGAUCCGGAAGAACACCGGUGGCGAAGGCGGUGCGCUGGGCCAUUGCUGACACUGAUGCGCGACAGCGUGGGGAGCAAACAGG
Molecule: ribosomal RNA, 253 nt
Filed under: uncultured bacterium
Lineage: Bacteria
Description: partial 16S ribosomal RNA
Rfam family: Bacterial small subunit ribosomal RNA
Source: RNAcentral